UACGUAGGGACCGAGCGUUGUCCGGAUUUAUUGGGCGUAAAGAGCUCGUAGGCGGCCGAUCGCGUCGGAUGUGAAAGCUCAAGGCUCAACCUUGAGAGGCCAUUCGAUACGGAUCGGCUAGAGGUAGGUAGGGGAAAGUGGAAUUCCUGGUGUAGCGGUGAAAUGCGCAGAUAUCAGGAGGAACACCGGUGGCGAAGGCGGCUUUCUGGGCCUUACCUGACGCUGAGGAGCGAAAGCUGGGGGAGCGAACAGG
RNAcentral lists this ribosomal RNA (253 nucleotides) under uncultured bacterium. RNAcentral's name for it is "partial 16S ribosomal RNA". It matches the Rfam family "Bacterial small subunit ribosomal RNA", at positions 524 to 776 of the family's 1533-position model. The record is from RNAcentral.